Molecule: transfer-messenger RNA, 358 nt
Filed under: Abditibacteriota bacterium
Lineage: Bacteria; Pseudomonadati; Abditibacteriota
Description: transfer-messenger RNA, SsrA
Rfam family: transfer-messenger RNA
About the family: Bacterial tmRNA, also known as 10Sa RNA or SsrA, is named for its dual tRNA and mRNA-like properties.
Source: RNAcentral
GGGGGCGACAGGUUUCGACGUUGAAUCUGAAGAUCGGGGUUGCGGGUCGUCUUGCUCAGAGACGCUAAACGGGGCGAAAAAAUUAACUGCCAACACAUACCAAGAGCCAAUGGCUCUGGCUGCCUAAGGGCACCAUGACUUUGUAGUUCCUGUCCGUCGGGCUGCUUCGUCAUCACUAAGACGGAUGUUUCAAUCGAGGUAAGUCUGUUCCAAAGGUUGAAACUGGCAUCAAUUCAGAAUCGCUCAAGAGAUUCCGCUGUUUUACCGGAGCUUGCGAGUUAAAUUAAAGUAAAACUACGCCUGUAGACGCUUCGAUUGUUCGUUUGACGGACGGGAAUUCAAUUUUCCCCGCCUCCAC